Molecule: transfer RNA, 77 nt
Filed under: Flavobacteriaceae bacterium
Lineage: Bacteria; Pseudomonadati; Bacteroidota; Flavobacteriia; Flavobacteriales; Flavobacteriaceae
Also listed under: 1 other name
Description: tRNA-Arg
Rfam family: tRNA
About the family: Transfer RNA (tRNA) molecules are approximately 80 nucleotides in length. Their secondary structure includes four short double-helical elements and three loops (D, anti-codon, and T loops).
Source: RNAcentral
GGCUCAGUAGUUCAACUGGAUAGAAUAUCAGAUUUCGGCUCUGAGGGUUGGGGGUUCGAAUCCUCCCUGGGCCACCA